CUGCGUUGUGAUGACAGACACAGACUGGUUGGAAACUGGACAAAGUGCAGCAGUGUCACACAGCAACAGCAGGCCUCUCCUCAUCCCUGUUUAGCACAAGUGGGAGAGGGAGAGGUGAAGUGGAGUGGAGAUAACAUCCCCUUCGACCUGUUCGGCCGGCACUGUUGGAUGCUGAAGGCCCCACAGAGGUUCCCAGCUGCUCUCUGCAUCAGGUCACUGAUGGUCUUGGUCACUCAGGCCUGUGAAUCCAGUCCCUGAAGAACUCCAUCAUCAUCCUCUGCAGGAAUAUCGCAGCAAGCUUCCCUCUGUCACCAUAAAGUAUCACAGCCAGUCCGUCAGUCUGGUCGUAGAUGAGAUGAAAAUGAAACCAGGAACCCACAUGCAGGACAUACAGCUGAAUGGCACCUUCUCCGUGUCUAUCCAUUGCAGCCUCAAGUCUGUCAGAAGGAAGAACAAAUCAUAAGUCACAAUCAC
Molecule: long non-coding RNA, 474 nt
Organism: Oreochromis aureus
Lineage: Eukaryota; Metazoa; Chordata; Actinopteri; Cichliformes; Cichlidae
Source: Ensembl